This 584-nucleotide long non-coding RNA is filed under the name Olea europaea subsp. europaea. Lineage: Eukaryota; Viridiplantae; Streptophyta; Magnoliopsida; Lamiales; Oleaceae. The record is from RNAcentral.
CAUGUUAAAAGAUUAUGAUAUUAGAUAUUCACUUGGUAUAAUUACUCUCUCUCUCUGUCUCUCUCAAUAUGGGAAGGAGAAACUUUGACUUCUAUUCUGGUCAAGAGCAGUAGCGGAUUCAGGUGGUGGCCAGCUAGAGCAACCACCCUACCUGGAUUCGUCGGAAUUGCCAGGCGCCGCGCUAACUGUGAUGAAUCUGUGAUGACAAAUUUCGUCCCCUGCGCCUGGCUCCGUCUGUGAUACUGUUGGGCCUUUUUUUUAAGUUAGGUUGGCCUAAAUCACCCAUAGUUAAAAAACCAAAAUAUUACCACAGCCACUACCAGAGGCAGAGGUUCAGUCGUCCAAAUUUCAGAAUCGAUUUCUCUUUUCCCCCAAUUCUUGAUUUCCUUUCCAUCAAAACCAGCAGCCAGAGAGAUCAAAGAAGAGCAAACCCUUCUUGAGUUCUUCCCCCCUAAUUCCUUCCUGCCAAAUCGGUCACCUGAGUUUAGAGAUUGAGCUAGUAGCAGUGCACCGCAUAAAUGGUGAACCCACUGUCCACUGAUGAGAAUUGUGAAUUUGUGAUAUCAUUUCAAUUUCAAGUACGA